This 356-nucleotide long non-coding RNA is filed under the name Gallus gallus (chicken). Lineage: Eukaryota; Metazoa; Chordata; Aves; Galliformes; Phasianidae. The record is from RNAcentral.
CUCUUCUGACUUUCUCUGUGGUCCAGUUGCUCAGAUACUCGGGUAAGACUUUGCCCAUAUUGCCAUUCUCUGGGAACAGCUGAAUCACCUCCAGGUUUCUGGUUUGUGCUCUUCUUCCCAGAGCACAGGCCAGCUCACUGCCAAGAAAACCACCACCAAUAAUUGUGAUGGACUUGACUUGUCUUGAAAUCUUCUCCAGAUUUUUGAAGUCCUCAAUCUUUCGGAACAGCGUCAGCCGUUGUUGUACUUCUUUUCCUGCCCUCUCGAUGGCAGGCAGGUUCCUUGGGGAGCCACCAGUUGCAAUUAGGCAUUUAUCAUAGGAUAUCUGGGUACCAUCAUUGAGUUUCACAGUGUUG